This 497-nucleotide ribosomal RNA is filed under the name uncultured bacterium. Its description in RNAcentral is "partial 16S ribosomal RNA". It matches the Rfam family "Bacterial small subunit ribosomal RNA", at positions 30 to 523 of the family's 1533-position model. The record is from RNAcentral.
AUUGAACGCUGGCGGCAUGCCUUACACAUGCAAGUCGAACGGUAACAGGUCUUCGGAUGCUGACGAGUGGCGAACGGGUGAGUAAUACAUCGGAACGUGCCUAGUAGUGGGGGAUAACUACUCGAAAGAGUGGCUAAUACCGCAUGAGAUCGACGGAUGAAAGCAGGGGAUCGCAAGACCUUGUGCUACUCGAGCGGCCGAUGGCAGAUUAGGUAGUUGGUGGGAUAAAAGCUUACCAAGCCGACGAUCUGUAGCUGGUCUGAGAGGACGAUCAGCCACACUGGGACUGAGACACGGCCCAGACUCCUACGGGAGGCAGCAGUGGGUAAUUUUGGACAAUGGGCGAAAGCCUGAUCCAGCAAUGCCGCGUGCAGGAUGAAGGCCUUCGGGUUGUAACUGCUUUUGUACGGAACGAAAAGCCCCGGGUUAAUACCCUGGGGUCAUGACGGUACCGUAAGAAUAAGCACCGGCUAACUACGUGCCAGCCGCCGCGGUAA